Long non-coding RNA from Cyprinus carpio (common carp), 1164 nucleotides. RefSeq lists it as uncharacterized. NCBI's taxonomy places the organism in Eukaryota, Metazoa, Chordata, Actinopteri, Cypriniformes, Cyprinidae. The transcript has 5 exons. The record is from RefSeq and is a predicted model, not a curated record.
CUGCAGUGAAUAAUUCUUCUGAGGCUGUUCUGUCAUCUUAGAUGUGAAGACUUCUACUGCAGCUUGGGGUUUUAUCUCAUGGAUAUGGAUUUUUAACAUUAACAGCAGUUUUAUUCAAAUAUGUCUGUUGAGAAGAUUGUUCAGAUGACAGCAUUUCUCUCUCUUCCAUAUAAGACAGCCCCUCAACAAAGGGCAUGGGAUUUUGUACUGACGUUUUUCAUCGUGUUGGGACUACCACAGUGAUACAUUCUUCAUUAGGCGCUGCUUUUGUUCCAGCCACCUGUUUGUAUGUGAAUGGUGCAGACAUGGGUAUAUCUUGAGGAUGGACUAACAGAUGAAAUUGCCUUGGAAAGAAUAACAAAUUGGAUUUCUUCAACUGGAUAUUUCACAUCAAAAGUCCAGAUGAGUCUAUAGUGUAUUUCUUAAGACGUUAAGAUACUUUCCACUACCAAAGGAUAUUGUCAGAAGGCUGAAUGAAGUGGAGACCCCAUUAACUUUUGGGAAUCCUAUCCGUCUCACGGUCAAACCAAAAGAUGUACCGGCAACUCCUCCAUUUCUGUCCAUCUUGUCCCCUUUGAAGGGCGAUGGACGGGAUAUUUGUCUGGCCGCCGGGUUCUUUCCUGAAGAAAAGACUAUGACUUUGACUGUGAAAGGUAAAGACCCUGUGAGCCUUACAACCAGAGAAGCACCCUUGUUUAAAUCGACCAAAACCUAUUAUUAUGCUGGAUUCAGUGAAGAUGAUAAAGUGCAAACAUGCGAAAUGGAUGGACAAACAGCAGACAAAACUCUUGACACUGCUGACACGACAGAAAACCCCGAAAGAGUGACUGAACAGACUUGUCCAACUAGUCUUAGUGCUGAUGCCUUAGAGUUCAUAAACACUGGUGAUCCAAAAAUGAACUCCAUGAAUCUUCUUGUGACAGGUCUGAGAAUUCUGCUUGCUAAAUGUGUCGCAGUUAAUGCAUUGAUGACUGUGAAGGCAUUCAUAUUUUAAAAGUUCAGUUCAGCCAAAUCAUUGGAAUAAUCAAAAAUUGUAACUUUGCUCAUCAAGGCUGCAUUUAUUUGAUCAAAAAUAUAGGAAACAUUUAAUAUUGUGAAAUAUUAUUAUGAUGUAAAAUACAAUUUUUCUAUUUUAAUAUACAUUAAAAUAUAAUUUAUUUCUGU